RNAcentral lists this ribosomal RNA (308 nucleotides) under uncultured eukaryote. RNAcentral describes it as "partial 18S ribosomal RNA". It matches the Rfam family "Eukaryotic small subunit ribosomal RNA", at positions 1470 to 1796 of the family's 1831-position model. The record is from RNAcentral.
CCCUUAGACGUUCUGGGCCGCACGCGCGCUACACUGACGAAGGCAACGAGCUUUCCUUUACCGAAAGGUACGGGUAAUCUUUUGAAACUUCGUCGUGCUGGGGAUAGAUCCUUGCAAUUAUUGAUCUUAAACGAGGAAUUCCUAGUAAGCGCAAGUCAUCAACUUGCGUUGAUUACGUCCCUGCCCUUUGUACACACCACCCGUCGCUACUACCGAUUGAAUGGUUUAGUGAGGCCUUCGGAUCCGCGACUCGUUUUGUGGAGAAGUUGGACAAACUCAGUCAUUUAGAGGAAGUAAAAGUCGUAACA